RNAcentral lists this ribosomal RNA (434 nucleotides) under uncultured Lachnospiraceae bacterium. RNAcentral describes it as "bacterial SSU rRNA". It matches the Rfam family "Bacterial small subunit ribosomal RNA", at positions 341 to 792 of the family's 1533-position model. The record is from RNAcentral. Lineage: Bacteria; Bacillati; Bacillota; Clostridia; Lachnospirales; Lachnospiraceae.
ACGGAAGGCAGCAGUAGGGAAUAUUGCACAAUGGGGGAAACCCUGAUGCAGCGACGCCGCGUGAGUGAUGAAGUAUUUCGGUACGUAAAGCUCUAUCAGCAGGGAAGAUAAUGACGGUACCUGACUAAGAAGCCCCGGCUAACUACGUGCCAGCAGCCGCGGUAAUACGUAGGGGGCAAGCGUUAUCCGGAUUUACUGGGUGUAAAGGGAGUGUAGGUGGUUUUGCAAGUCAGAUGUGAAAGCCCGCGGCUCAACUGCGGGACUGCAUUUGAAACUGUGGAACUUGAGUGCAGGAGAGGAAAGUGGAAUUCCUAGUGUAGCGGUGAAAUGCGUAGAUAUUGGGAGGAACACCAGUGGCGAAGGCGGCUUACUGGACUGUAACUGACACUGAGGCUCGAAAGCGUGGGGAGCAAACAGGAUUAGAUACCCUGGUA